Molecule: long non-coding RNA, 525 nt
Organism: Equus caballus (horse)
Lineage: Eukaryota; Metazoa; Chordata; Mammalia; Perissodactyla; Equidae
Source: RefSeq, a predicted model, not a curated record
CCUGAAAUACACAGAGGGUCCAACACCAGUUUUAAAAAUACAUUAACGAGGUAUUCCCAGCUCUUCAAUUAAUAACGGUGACUGGCUGAUUCAUGAUUUUCAAACAUUCACCCAAAUUUUUAAAAAAGAAGAAAAAGCUAAUACCAGCAAAAUCUAUCAGUGCUUUGUUCCCCAGGUUAACAAUUUGAGAGAAACUGCAAAGGACUUCAGGACUCCUCGCUUCACCGCACCAUGCACUGCCUCUAGUCAGCAUGAGGUCAGCAAAACGAAUCAAUGAAACAUGAAGACUCCCAGCUGAAAUGGGCCCUCUUGUUUAUGUCUAACCACUAAUGCACAGGAUGAGAAUGCAGCACUCAACAAGAACUGGGACAAUCGAAGAGCAAGUUUUUAUGGGGACCCUGUUGCUGCUUUAGAUUCUGAUGUAACUGAAGAGGAAAAGAGACCCUUCAAUGAAUCCCAGAAAUUGCUAAUCCUCUAUCUGCAUGAAAAAAGCCAGAGAGUGAACACAGUAUCUUACAGAGUGAA